UUUUAGAAACAAACAAUAUACAUUUGAUGAUUAUAAAGAAAUUUUUAACUUUGCAUUUAUGACUGAUUUAUCAAUCUCAAAUAUGACAUAGUGCUAAUUUUGAUUUAAGUAAACUCCAAAUCGGUAAUCGCUGAAGUAUUAAAACAGUUAGUGGUUUUACAAAUUAUUCUGUCUCUAAUCAGUACAUUAUAAAGAUUGCUAUAAAAAAGAACUGUUGAUGAAAAUUGAGGAGAUAAUUAUAGCAGCAAAAUGUGCUAAAGCAUUAAUCUAAUGAUCAAUUUUAUAUUGCAGUUAUGUAUUGGUACGUCAACGUGAUGCAUCUUUAGAUUGUUUAGGAAUAAAUUAGG
Molecule: non-coding RNA, 347 nt
Filed under: Rickettsia typhi str. Wilmington
Lineage: Bacteria; Pseudomonadati; Pseudomonadota; Alphaproteobacteria; Rickettsiales; Rickettsiaceae
Description: Rickettsia sRNA 10
Rfam family: Rickettsia sRNA 10
Source: Rfam by way of RNAcentral